Long non-coding RNA from Notothenia coriiceps (black rockcod), 218 nucleotides. RefSeq lists it as uncharacterized. The record is from RefSeq and is a predicted model, not a curated record. NCBI's taxonomy places the organism in Eukaryota, Metazoa, Chordata, Actinopteri, Perciformes, Nototheniidae. The transcript is spliced from 3 exons.
CAGGAGACCUUACAGCAGUUAGUCCUCAUGCCCCUUCCCAACAUCCUCUCCAUCGCCAAGGAUCCAAUAUCAGUUAAGAGCAUGGAGGAGCUGAAAAGUCUUCUGUUGCUGGUACUAGGCUGUGCUGUCCAGUGUGAGCGUAAGGAGGAGAUGAUAGAGAAGAUCAAGCUGCUGGACUUUGACACUCAGGCUGCGAUUGUCUUUCACAUCCAAGAGGU